GCCCACCCGAGGGGAAGGAGGAAGGGAGAAGACCAAGAAAAAUAAAUAGGAAAUAGUAAAUCUAUAAGAUUCCUGAGCCAAAGAUGGGGGGCAUUCAACCUUCCUAGUUGCCCAAGUGUACUUUUCUUUGCUUCAAUAAAUUCUCGUUUCUGCCUCAAAUCUACGUCUGUCUCUUGGUCAAAUCCAAGAAGACAAGAACCAAUGACUGAAGAAACCUCCUAGACUUGCUGCUGGUAACAAAAUGAGAACCACUGCAAAAGGUAAAUCAUAAAUCAACACAAGGUAGAUACACAUUCGUUCAGCCCAAAAAGGUGGGACAUCUCGAAGAAAGAGCUUACAAGUCAUAGCAUCUGCUAUCUGCCAUGUGAUGCUAUACCAGAGUCAGG
This 386-nucleotide long non-coding RNA is filed under the name Homo sapiens (human). RNAcentral describes it as "HSALNT0399775". Lineage: Eukaryota; Metazoa; Chordata; Mammalia; Primates; Hominidae. The record is from RNAcentral.